RNAcentral lists this ribosomal RNA (626 nucleotides) under Agroathelia rolfsii. Its description in RNAcentral is "Athelia rolfsii partial large subunit ribosomal RNA". The record is from RNAcentral. Lineage: Eukaryota; Fungi; Basidiomycota; Agaricomycetes; Amylocorticiales; Amylocorticiaceae.
UCCCCUAGUAACUGCGAGUGAAGCGGGAAAAGCUCAAAUUUAAAAUCUGGUAGUCUCUGGCUGCCCGAGUUGUAAUCUGGAGAAGUGUUUUCUGUGCUGGGCCGUGUACAAGUCUCUUGGAAUAGAGCGUCAUAGAGGGUGAGAAUCCCGUCUUUGACACGGACAUCCAGUGCUCUGUGAUGCACUCUCAAAGAGUCGAGUUGUUUGGGAAUGCAGCUCAAAAUGGGUGGUAAAUUCCAUCUAAAGCUAAAUAUUGGCAAGAGACCGAUAGCGAACAAGUACCGUGAGGGAAAGAUGAAAAGAACUUUGGAAAGAGAGUUAAACAGUACGUGAAAUUGUUGAAAGGGAAACGCUUGAAGUCAGUCGCGUCUAGCAAGGAUCAGCCUUUCUCGGAAGGUGUAUUUCUUGCUUGACGGGUCAACAUCAAUUUUGAYUACUGGAAAAAGGCCAGAGGAAGGUGGCACCUUCGGGUGUGUUAUAGCCUUUGGUCAUAUACAGUAGUUGGGAUUGAGGAAUUCAGCAUGCCUUCAUGGCUGGGGUUCGCCCACAUUCAUGCUUAGGAUGUUGGCAUAAUGGCUUUAAGCGACCCGUCUUGAAACACGGACCAAGGAGUCUAACAUACCUGC